This 433-nucleotide ribosomal RNA is filed under the name uncultured bacterium. RNAcentral's name for it is "partial 16S ribosomal RNA". It matches the Rfam family "Bacterial small subunit ribosomal RNA", at positions 29 to 507 of the family's 1533-position model. The record is from RNAcentral.
AACGAACGCUGGCGGCAUGCCUAACACAUGCCAGUCGAACGAGACCUUCGGGUCUAGUGGCGCACGGGUGCGUAACGCGUGGGAAUCUGCCCUUGGGUUCGGAAUAACAGUUGGAAACGACUGCUAAUACCGGAUGAUGACGUAAGUCCAAAGAUUUAUCGCCCAGGGAUGAGCCCGCGUAGGAUUAGCUAGUUGGUGGGGUAAAGGCCUACCAAGGCGACGAUCCUUAGCUGGUCUGAGAGGAUGAUCAGCCACACUGGGACUGAGACACGGCCCAGACUCCUACGGGAGGCAGCAGUGGGGAAUAUUGGACAAUGGGCGAAAGCCUGAUCCAGCAAUGCCGCGUGAGUGAUGAAGGCCUUAGGGUUGUAAAGCUCUUUUACCCGGGAUGAUAAUGACAGUACCGGGAGAAUAAGCCCCGGCUAACUCCGUG